RNAcentral lists this ribosomal RNA (497 nucleotides) under uncultured bacterium. Its description in RNAcentral is "partial 16S ribosomal RNA". It matches the Rfam family "Bacterial small subunit ribosomal RNA", at positions 28 to 507 of the family's 1533-position model. The record is from RNAcentral.
GAUGAACGCUGGCGGCGUGCCUAACACAUGCAAGUCGAGCGAACGGACGAGAAGCUUGCUUUUCUGAUGUUAGCGGCGGACGGGUGAGUAACACGUGGAUAACCUACCUUUAAGACUGGGAUAACUUCGGGAAACCGGAGCUAAUACCGGAUAAUAUUUUGAACCGCAUGGUUCAAAAGUGAAAGACUGUCUUGCUGUCACUUAUAGAUGGAUCCGCGCUGCAUUAGCUAGUUGGUAAGGUAACGGCUUACCAAGGCAACGAUGCAUAGCCGACCUGAGAGGGUGAUCGGCGACACUGGAGCUGGACCACGGUCCAGACUCCUACGGGAGGCAGCAGUAGGGAAUCUUCCGCAAUGGGCGAAAGCCUGACGGAGCGACGCCGCGUGAGUGAUGGAGGUCUUCGGAUCGUAAAACUCGGUUAUGAGGGAAGAACAUAUGUGUGAGUAACUGUGCACAUCUUGACGGUACCUAAUCAGAAAGCCACGGCUAACUACGUG